GAGCUAAAUGCUCAUACUCGUACCGGCGUUGCCACGUCUGUCGUCUACUUUUUAAGCCACAGAACAUUUGAAAACUGUCAACUGUUCAUCUCUGACAGCCUGUCAACUCAUUUCACAUGUCUUAUUUAUUUUUAUUUUGUUAUCAGAGACCGUUUAUUAUUUACAUUUUUCAUUAAUAUUCUUUGUGAAAUUGUGGUAAUAAUUAUAUCAGAAAAUCUGUAUUGAAUAGAUGACCAAUGCAACACAAAUAACAGGGUUGCAAUCACUUACAACAUGAUUAACAACAUUAACAACAAGAAGUUUUCAGCGGAACGUUAAAUUAAACUGAUAUAUCUACAUAUAACAACAUAAGGGUCCUGUAACGUUCCUCGAACAACUGAAGAACAUUAGAAUCAUUACUUGGAAGACUGAACCUGGUCGAAAGACCCUCUCGGUCAAAACAAAGAUUUGGACCAUUAUAGGCCCCUCCAACCUUCUAGCCUCACAAAAAUUGUGGAGACAAGCAAAAGCGUCAUUACAAGUAAAACUCCUCACUUGACGAAUAUUUUCGUUGUUUCAAGGUAUAAAAGAGUGGUAUUUAACUUCAUCUAGAGCUCUAAGAAUAUAUAUUUGGCAAUCUGUAAUAGAUAAAUAGAUAUAUGAAAAUGAAUACAAAGAGUACCCAAUUUAUUGAAAUUUUGAAAACAAAUCAAGAAGUGGCGGAUUUUAUUCCCAGAAGAUAAGCCAGAUGUACGAAAGCAUUCAGAGCGUAGCAGCCUACAAAUACUUUAUAAUUAGCCUUUUACCUAGGUUACUCUAUAAAAUAUUUGGAACAUAAUAUUCGAGGAAAGUAUUUCACAAAAGGGUUAGCACAGAUGAAUUGAUGUAUAUUUAGAGAAGGGAAUAAUGACCAACCUGUAAUAAAAUACUGCUUUGAGGAUUGUGAAACUCUGGAUCCAUAUGGAAUGCGUCUGGUAGACCAUUGUUCCUGGCCUUUAUUUCUACAGCAUUUGUACGGGUAAUAAGAGAUGGAAUGAAUAUUUUCUCAAAAUGUAAAUACGUAAUAUUAUGUAAUUUAGUUGUAUUAAAUAUUCUUGAAAAGA
Coccinella septempunctata (seven-spotted ladybird) is the source of this 1082-nucleotide long non-coding RNA. RefSeq lists it as uncharacterized. The transcript has 2 exons. The record is from RefSeq and is a predicted model, not a curated record. NCBI's taxonomy places the organism in Eukaryota, Metazoa, Arthropoda, Insecta, Coleoptera, Coccinellidae.